Molecule: non-coding RNA, 21 nt
Filed under: Caenorhabditis elegans
Lineage: Eukaryota; Metazoa; Nematoda; Chromadorea; Rhabditida; Rhabditidae
Source: RNAcentral
UUUCGAUAAAAGUGGCAAAAA